RNAcentral lists this ribosomal RNA (441 nucleotides) under uncultured Alphaproteobacteria bacterium. RNAcentral describes it as "bacterial SSU rRNA". It matches the Rfam family "Bacterial small subunit ribosomal RNA", at positions 8 to 494 of the family's 1533-position model. Lineage: Bacteria; Pseudomonadati; Pseudomonadota; Alphaproteobacteria. The record is from RNAcentral.
AGAGUUUGAUCCUGGCUCAGAGCGAACGCUGGCGGCAGGCUUAACACAUGCAAGUCGAGCGGGCGUAGCAAUACGUCAGCGGCAGACGGGUGAGUAACGCGUGGGAACAUACCUUUUGGUUCGGAACAACACAGGGAAACUUGUGCUAAUACCGGAUAAGCCCUUACGGGGAAAGAUUUAUCGCCGAAAGAUUGGCCCGCGUCUGAUUAGCUAGUUGGUGAGGUAACGGCUCACCAAGGCGACGAUCAGUAGCUGGUCUGAGAGGAUGAUCAGCCACAUUGGGACUGAGACACGGCCCAAACUCCUACGGGAGGCAGCAGUGGGGAAUAUUGGACAAUGGGCGCAAGCCUGAUCCAGCCAUGCCGCGUGAGUGAUGAAGGCCCUAGGGUUGUAAAGCUCUUUUGUGCGGGAAGAUAAUGACGUACCGCAAGAAUAAGCCCC